Molecule: long non-coding RNA, 187 nt
Filed under: Oryctolagus cuniculus (rabbit)
Lineage: Eukaryota; Metazoa; Chordata; Mammalia; Lagomorpha; Leporidae
Description: lncRNA (ENSOCUG00000032798.1)
Source: RNAcentral
AACAAAAUGUGCUGUCCUAUUCUAUGAUUUUUAUUGUGCAGGUAGAACAGAACACAAAGGAAAGAGAAUCUAAACAUCGCACGAUGAAAUGUAUUAUGUAGAGCAGCUGGAAACAUUAUUUCCAGGACUUUUUGAAGACUACCUCAGGUGCUUCUCAGAACAAACACAGCAGGAAAAUGAUGCCAUC